Nyctereutes procyonoides (raccoon dog) is the source of this 2535-nucleotide long non-coding RNA. RefSeq lists it as uncharacterized. The transcript has 9 exons. NCBI's taxonomy places the organism in Eukaryota, Metazoa, Chordata, Mammalia, Carnivora, Canidae. The record is from RefSeq and is a predicted model, not a curated record.
GCUUGUGAAAUGCAUGGCUGUUGAUUUAAUAUUCUUUGGUCUGCAGGUUCCAGGCGCACUUGGGAACGCCGAAGAAUGGAAAAGAACCGACUUGCUAGAAUGUGGUUCAGCUCCAAAGACCUUAAAGUUUGGAGGAUGAGAUCAGACCUGUCUCUAUGGAAAAAAAAGACCUGUCUCUAUGAACUAGGCAUUACCGUGGUGCUCCGGCAUCUCUUCUCUAAGCCUGAGGAAUCCAACUGACCUCCACAGUGAAUACAGGUAAUAAUUGUUCAAAUGGGGGGGGGUUGGAGAAUUCUCUCCAGUUUUGCCUACAACCAGAAGAGCAAAUGUCCAGUGGAGCAGUGUUGCCUUUUUGCUCCUUCCAGCUUGUUCCUUUUGGAAUGACUUUCCUGUGGAGGGAGAGAGCAGCCCAGCUGUAUACUUCUUGUGAGGCUAUGCUCUCCCUUACCCCAUACGUCACUGUCAGAUGAUUUGAAUAGAUAUGCUGAUCCUCUGUGAGGUACAACAAUUAAUAGCAUGUUAGAGUUCUGAUGACAGUUUCUGUUAACAAGGAAACUUCAUUCCAUCCUAAUAUUUUUGGGUAACUGUUUGUUCACCUUUUACAGGUUGACUUGAUGGUGAUCCAUUCAUCUAUUUACAUAGGCUCUGUGCCCAACAUGGGGCCGAAACUCAGGACCUCAAGAUCAAGAGUUGGGUGCCCCACCAACUGAGCCAGCCAGGCAUCCUUUGCUUUAUUUCUUCUGGGUACUCCUUUGAUCUGUCCAGGGUUGAGCUCUCCAAAAGCAACAUUAAGGAUGGAGCAGCUUGUUUCCUGUAUGCUACCCCAAAGUCUCCAGAGCUAACAGGUCCUGUUACACCUAUAACCUGCUUGUUUGCUGAAAGGUCCAGUACCUUGUGUGGGACUCAAGAAUGAUUUGAGGAACCCUCAGCCAUUUUUCUGUUCAGCUCCAGUCUGAGGCAAGUAAAUUUACAUACAGAGUGACCCAAACUAGAACCUCCCAGUGAAGAAACAGUCACAUGUCUUACCUCCUGUCCUAGUCCCAGAGCCUGUAAAGGUGAACCCACUGGGGCUGGCUGGGGGAAGGAAGGACAUUUGCUCCGGAAGGAACUGUCUGAGGGAUCAUAAGAGAUUUCUAAAUAUGGGAAAAGGGAAUAAAUCAUUUGGUGAAGUCAACUGUACAUACUUCUUUGUAGGUCUAAAGAAAGAACAAAGCUUUUAUAUAACAGGAGCUGCCCAAAUCCAUCCCAGAGUUGCCACAGGAAAGUGGGUCCCGUAGUGCCAGCUCCCAGAGGCAGCACUCUCGGACAACCCUGCAACCGGCCUCCCACAGGACCUCCCCAUCUGUGCCUCUACUUGGUAUGGCCUCUUGUUAGGUGUUUGGAUACCUUCUGUCAAGUUCUCUAGCCUCUUGAGGACUGUGGUUAACUUGUAGGCUAGUGAAUGGGCCUAGGGGACGCUAAGGGUCUGCCUGGAAGUUGUAUACUAAAUAAGUAUACAGCAACUCAUUUGGGUAAAGCUUCAGCAGAUUCUCAGAGUGGUUGGGAAAUGCAAUAAAGUUAAAAUUAAGGGGAUCCCUGGGUGGCUCAGUGGUUGAGCAUCUGCCUUCGGCCCAGGGCCUGAUCCUGGAGUCCUGGGAUCAAGUCCCACAUUGGGCUCCUUGCAUGGAACCUGCUUGUUCCUCAGCCUGUCUCUGGGUCUCUCAUGAAUAAAUAAAUCUUUUUUUAAAAAAUGGGAGGGGAAAUGUUAAAAGCCUUUGAAUAUUAUGCAACAGUUAACAGAAUAUUGGUUUCAUGAAAAUAAAUAAAUUUAGAAUAUGCACCUGGAAAGCAUAUUCCUUGGCCUCACUUUGCCUGUCCUCAAAGCCAGUGAUUCUCUGUGAACUCUACCACUUGCGUCCAGUUCUGCAGUCAGGGCCCAAGGCUCUCACCUAGAUGAUCACAGGAUUCUUCUGUUUUCCCCAGGAAACUGAACGUCAGGAAGGCAAGGACCCCAUCUGAUUUUAUUAUUGCAGAAUGUGCUCAACAAGCACAAGUGAACAAAAGGCUUCCCAGGAGCAAAUGUAAUCCCAAGUUCUUAUGGCACCUGCACCAUCAGUCUCCCUUACUUGUGUAGGAAGAAGAAGGGGUAACAGCAAACUGGGUGAAGGAGCCACUCCCCACUUAUCCUGGCUUCCAAGGAAGAUGGCGGCUGCUGCAGAGUGCAGCCCUGUCUGGGGAAUUGCCCACCACAAGAUCUAUGAUCUGUGCUCCAGUACAAAGGCUGUAGCCUGGGCAGAAGGUGAAGCCUGCUCAGCUUGCGGGCUGUGGCUUGCCUGAGGUUGGGUCUUGAAGAAUUUGGAAGUCGAGAUGAAAAGAAACUGAAUUUGGGGGGCACCUGGUUGGCUCAGUGGUUGAGCGUCUGCCUUUGGCUUGGGUGGUGAUUCUGGAGUCCUGGGAUCAAGUCCUGCAUCAGGCUCCCUGCAGGAAGCCUGUUUCUCCCUCUGCCAAGUCUGCUUCUGUCUCUCAUGAAUAAAAUCUUUUUUUAAAAAACCUGAA